This 1957-nucleotide ribosomal RNA is filed under the name human gut metagenome. RNAcentral's name for it is "bacterial LSU rRNA". It matches the Rfam family "Bacterial large subunit ribosomal RNA", at positions 1 to 1983 of the family's 2925-position model. The record is from RNAcentral.
GAAAGUAAGCAAGGGCAGACGGUGGAUGCCUUGGCUCUCGGAGGCGAUGAAGGACGUGAUAAGCUGCGAUAAGCUGGGGGGAGAUGCAAAUAAUCUUUGAUCCUCGGAUUUCCGAAUGGGGCAACCCGGCAGAUUGAAGAUCUGUCACCUCGUAAGAGGAGCGAACGUGGGGAACUGAAACAUCUAAGUACCCAUAGGAGAAGAAAAUAAAAAUGAUUCCGCAAGUAGUGGCGAGCGAACGCGGAAGAGCCCAAACCGAUAUUGUUUAGGCAAUAUCGGGGUUGUAGGACUACGGUAUAGCAAGAAAUUAGUAAAGUGGAACGUUUUGGAAAGAACGGCCAUAGACGGUGAAAGCCCGGUACACGACUUACUGACGAAGCUUAGUAGUAUCCUGAGUAGCGCGGGGCACGAGAAAUCCUGUGUGAAUUAGCGGGGCCCAUCCCGUAAGGCUAAAUACUCCCGAGAGACCGAUAGCGAACCAGUACCGUGAGGGAAAGGUGAAAAGAACCUCGAAUAGAGGAGUGAAAUAGACCCUGAACCCGUCUGCCUACAAGCGGUCGGAGCACUUUCGAGUGUGACGGCGUGCCUUUUGCAUAAUGAACCUACGAGUUACUUUCUCCGGCAAGGUUAAGUGAUUCAGUCACGGAGCCGAAGCGAAAGCGAGUCUGAACAGGGCGCCAUAGUCGGAGGGAGUAGACGCGAAACCAAGUGAUCUACCCAUGGUCAGGUUGAAGGUUAGGUAACACUAACUGGAGGACCGAACCGGUAAGCGUUGAAAAGCUUUCGGAUGAACUGUGGGUAGGGGUGAAAGGCUAAUCAAACUUGGAGAUAGCUCGUACUCCCCGAAAUGCAUUUAGGUGCAGCCUAGGGUUAGUAUAAUAUGAGGUAGAGCGACUGAUUGGAUGCGAGGGCUUCACCGCCUAUCAAGUCCAGAUAAACUCCGAAUGCGUAUUAUAUAUUGCCCUGGAGUGAGGGCGCGGGUGCUAAGGUCCGCGUCCGAGAGGAGAAGAAUCCAGACCAUCAGCUAAGGUCCCCAAAUAACAGUUAAGUUGAACUAACGAAGUCAGACUGCAGAGACAGCUAGGAUGUUGGCUUGGAAGCAGCCAUUCAUUUAAAGAGUGCGUAACAGCUCACUAGUCGAGGAGUUUGGCGUGGAUAAUACUCGGGCAUAAACUGUUUACCGAAGCUAUGGAUCUCGUAAGAGAUGGUAGGGGAGCAUUCUAUGUACGUUGAAGGUGAGGGAUAACCCUUGCUGGAGUGUAUAGAAAAGCAAAUGUAGGUAUAAGUAACGAUAAAGGAAGUGAGAAACUUCCUCGCCGAAAGACUAAGGUUUCCUGAUCAACGUUAAUCGGAUCAGGGUAAGUCGGGACCUAAGGAUAAGCCGAACGGCGAUUCCGAUGGAAGAAUGGUUUAAUAUUCCCAUACUACUUUAUAGAGCGAUGUGGAGACGGAGAAGUGACAGUCCUGCCAACUGACGGAAUAGUUGGUUAAAGGGUGUAGACGUUGAUCGCGGUAGGCAAAUCCGCCGUGAGAGUCGAACCUGAGAGUAUACCGAGUACUUGUACAAGGUAAUAUGGACGUAAUCAUGCUCCCUAGAAAAUCCGCUAAGCAUAUUUAUAAAGUACCCGUACCGUAAACGGACACACGUAGUUGGGUUGAGAAUACUGAGGCGCUCGAGUGAUUCACGGUUAAGGAACUAGGCAAAUUGACCCUGUAACUUCGGGAUAAAGGGUCCCACUGUAACAGGUGGGCGCAGAGAAUAGGUCCAGGCAACUGUUUAACAAAAACACAUGGCUGUGCGAAAUAGAAAUAUGAAGUAUACAGCCUGACACCUGCCCGGUGCUGGAAGGUUAAGAGGAGAGCUCAUCGCAAGAGAAGGUUUGAAUUGAAGCCCCAGUAAACGGCGGCCGUAACUAUAACGGUCCUAAGGUAGCGAAAUUCCUUGUCGGGUAAGUUC